This is a long non-coding RNA of Etheostoma cragini (Arkansas darter), 99 nucleotides long. RefSeq lists it as uncharacterized. NCBI's taxonomy places the organism in Eukaryota, Metazoa, Chordata, Actinopteri, Perciformes, Percidae. The record is from RefSeq and is a predicted model, not a curated record. The transcript is spliced from 3 exons.
UGUCUGUCUGUCGGCGCAGAGACACGCAGGAAAAACUUUACGUUACACAGAGACGGGCUCACGUAGUCAGAGUUGAAAAAUGUAUCAAAAGAUUUGUGA